Molecule: unclassified non-coding RNA, 358 nt
Filed under: uncultured Agaricomycetes
Lineage: Eukaryota; Fungi; Basidiomycota; Agaricomycetes
Description: sequence contains ITS1
Rfam family: 5.8S ribosomal RNA (bases 1-105)
Source: RNAcentral
GAAAUGCGAUACGUAAUGUGAAUUGCAGAAUCCAGUGAAUCAUCGAAUCUUCGAACGCACGUUGCGGCCCUGGGUAUUCCCAGGGCCACGCCUGCUUGAGUGCCAUUUAUAUACCUCAUUCUCUGACUUGUUUGUCAAAGAAUGGAUUUGAGUUGUCGGAUCUUUUCAGUAAGGUCCGUCACUUGAAAUGUAGAGGUCGAUAACGCUUUAUCCUCUAAGUACAAGCGUGGUACGCCUUAUUGCAAGGCAAAUCCUAUCCGCUUGUGCGUUAUAAAAGAGGGUAACUAGCUCAAGACCCCAACAACCAAACCUUUAUAAUCUUGGCCUCAAGUCAGACGAGACUACCCGCUGAAUUUAA